Molecule: ribosomal RNA, 492 nt
Filed under: uncultured bacterium
Lineage: Bacteria
Description: partial 16S ribosomal RNA
Rfam family: Bacterial small subunit ribosomal RNA
Source: RNAcentral
AGUGAACGCUGGCGGUAGGCCUAACACAUGCAAGUCGAACGGCAGCACAGUAAGAGCUUGCUCUUACGGGUGGCGAGUGGCGGACGGGUGAGGAAUACAUCGGCAUCUACUUUUUCGUGGGGGAUAACGUAGGGAAACUUACGCUAAUACCGCAUACGACCUACGGGUGAAAGCAGGGGAUCUUCGGACCUUGCGCGAUAGAAUGAGCCGAUGUCGGAUUGGCUAGUUGGCGGGGUAAAGGCCCACCAAGGCGACGAUCCGUAGCUGGUCUGAGAGGAUGAUCACCCACACGGGAACUGAGACACGGUCCAGGCUCCUACGGGAGGCCGCAGUGGGGAAUAGUGGACAAUGGUCGCAAGCCUGAUCCAGCCAUACCGCGUCGGUGAAGAAGGCGUUCGGGUUGUAAAGCCCUUUUGUUGGGAAAGAAAAGCAGCAGGUUAAUACCCCGCUGGUCUGACGGUACCCAAAGAAUAAGCACCGGCUAACUUCGUG